AUUCACGGUGAAAUCUAUCUACUAUUUAAUAGUACCAGUUCUUGUGACAUUAUUUUCAACAACAUUUUAGUAAUCCACUAUAAAUAGUUUUAAACAUUAUUUUCAGCAACAUUUUGGUGUGCAAGUAGUCACAAAGUGUGAAGGUUAGCAGGAACUGAUUUGAGCAUGGGAAUGGAGAAGCUUUAGCUUCGACUAGAAUAGUGUGCUGAGCUAUUAUAUCCAGUCCAUCCAAGAGGGAGUUAUGCCUGGUGAUCCAAACUGUUGAUCUAAAAAUCUUUCAGGUUCAAAUAUCCUAGCUAUCCAACCUCUACACUUUCUCCUAUUUUUAGGUGUCUACCAAAUAAAGCCUAAGGUUUUCUUUUUCUUUUUCUUUUUCUUUUUCUUAUGGACAUGGUGAAUUGUUGUAUGUGAAAAACAUCUUGCGGUUGUAAGCAAAGGCUAUUUAACUUGAAUUGCAAAUGUUCAGCUUAAUCAAGAAGAAAUACUAAUUAGGUUUUAUGCUUUAUCAUAGUUAUAACUAUAAUUCAAUUUGAUAGUGCAUCCAAACACACUCUAAGCUGGUUGUAUGCAGCCUUUUUGGAGUUAUUGUCAUACAUGCUUAUAUCAAAGGCUAGAUUUUGAGUCACAAAACCAUUUACUGGAAUUGGCUAGAGAAAGAGAACUAAGCACAUGCUGCAUGAGAUGGAAAAGUCCCAAACUGAGUUGUGGGUGAGAUUGGUUUCUUACAAACCCAAUGUUAAUUCGGUACAUUGCAGAUAACAAUCUUGAGAACAACCCAUGGCAUGGAUUUGAUGAGUGGUCACUCAAGAUAAAAACCAAUGCACCUGAAUGAAGUUCUGAAAAUGUUGUUGGUUUUUCUUCUUCAAUUAUUCUUGAAAGUUAUAUUGGUUGCU
This is a long non-coding RNA of Magnolia sinica, 893 nucleotides long. RefSeq lists it as uncharacterized. The transcript is spliced from 3 exons. Lineage: Eukaryota; Viridiplantae; Streptophyta; Magnoliopsida; Magnoliales; Magnoliaceae. The record is from RefSeq and is a predicted model, not a curated record.